Molecule: long non-coding RNA, 189 nt
Organism: Octopus sinensis (East Asian common octopus)
Lineage: Eukaryota; Metazoa; Mollusca; Cephalopoda; Octopoda; Octopodidae
Exons: 3
Source: RefSeq, a predicted model, not a curated record
UUAUUUCAAGUUACUCCAGUCCACUCAGCUGAUAAUAAUGAGUUGUAUCUGUAUUUCAAAGGGUCAGCCUUGUCACAUUCUGUGUCACGCUGAAUCUCCUUGAGAACUACGUCAAAGACACGCGUGUCUGUGGACUGCUCAGCCCAUUACACUCUAAUUCCACGAGCGGACUGUUCGACUGGUCGGAUC